This 76-nucleotide transfer RNA is filed under the name Rubrobacter radiotolerans. RNAcentral describes it as "tRNA-Phe". It matches the Rfam family "tRNA". From Rfam's summary of the family: Transfer RNA (tRNA) molecules are approximately 80 nucleotides in length. Their secondary structure includes four short double-helical elements and three loops (D, anti-codon, and T loops). Further hydrogen bonds mediate the characteristic L-shaped molecular structure. tRNAs have two regions of fundamental functional importance: the anti-codon, which is responsible for specific mRNA codon recognition, and the 3' end, to which the tRNAs corresponding amino acid is attached (by aminoacyl-tRNA synthetases). tRNAs cope with the degeneracy of the genetic code in two manners: having more than one tRNA (with a specific anti-codon) for a particular amino acid; and 'wobble' base-pairing, i.e. permitting non-standard base-pairing at the 3rd anti-codon position. RNAcentral also lists the same sequence under 1 other name. The record is from RNAcentral. Lineage: Bacteria; Bacillati; Actinomycetota; Rubrobacteria; Rubrobacterales; Rubrobacteraceae.
GGCGGGAUAGCUCAGUUGGUAGAGCACGCGACUGAAAAUCGCGGUGUCGGCGGUUCGAAUCCGCCUCCCGCCACCU